GCCGGGCGUGGUGGCGUGCACCUGUAAUCCUAGCUACUUGGGAGGCUGAGGUGGGGGAAUUGCUUGAACCAGGAAGGUGGAGGUUGCAGUGAGCUGAGAUUGAGCCACUGCACUCCAGCCUGGGUGACAGAGCGAGACUCCGUCUCAA
Papio anubis (olive baboon) is the source of this 148-nucleotide unclassified non-coding RNA. It matches the Rfam family "Metazoan signal recognition particle RNA". Rfam says of the family: The signal recognition particle (SRP) is a universally conserved ribonucleoprotein. It is involved in the co-translational targeting of proteins to membranes. The eukaryotic SRP consists of a 300-nucleotide 7S RNA and six proteins: SRPs 72, 68, 54, 19, 14, and 9. The record is from Ensembl. NCBI's taxonomy places the organism in Eukaryota, Metazoa, Chordata, Mammalia, Primates, Cercopithecidae.